This is a long non-coding RNA of Acinonyx jubatus (cheetah), 6969 nucleotides long. RefSeq lists it as uncharacterized. Lineage: Eukaryota; Metazoa; Chordata; Mammalia; Carnivora; Felidae. The record is from RefSeq and is a predicted model, not a curated record. The transcript is spliced from 3 exons.
UAAUAAUAAAAAAAUCAAAUACAGUAUUCUGUACCAUAGCGUUGCUCUGAUACCAUUUGUUUAUUUUUUUUAUAUAGCUUGAAGCCUAGACGAUGUAUAGCAAGAGAGCCUAAUCUCCUUAAUUAGCAUGCACAAAGUGUAUUCACACACAGUAACAGCAGCAAAAUGUUAUUUGUAUUGUCUACUUUUAGUUUCCAUUUCCAGGUGUCUUUAAUGGUGUUUAGAAAGUAUGGACCCAGAAUGAAAUGUUUUGAAGCAGGCAGAAGUCACUCAAUUUAUUUUGUUGUGGUCUGAGCCAAAGAGAGUGUCAUUCUCUUGGAUAGGUGAAACAAAAUCUGUAAGCUCUUUGAAUCAACCUUUCCUUGUAAACGUUUCAGUAAUAAAAACAUCUUACCAAUCAUUGGUCAAUUUGGUUGUGUAAGAGAAUGUCGAACAUUUAUAUUUUUAAUAAAAGCUGCAAAGGUAAUCAUGACUUUAUUUUUCCUUUUCAGUAUUCAUAGGAGUAAAACUUCCAGCCCCUGGCUUCCUUCGACCUGACAGCAGCACAAGAAGUGCUGAAAACUCUUUGCAUUAAUUUCCUACUAAAAAUACAAACAUAUGUCAAGUGGCUUACACAGAUACUGCAGUCGCCUUGGACUCAUCUGUGUACCUCAGGUUGCUCCUCUGAGGUUAAGUUAAAUAAUUUGGGAAGUUGCUUCCAGCUCUAAGACUUGGUAGUUCUAUGAAUGGUAGAUCAAUUCAUAAUAGAAAUAACAUUUAACCCUGAUUAACUAUAAGAUGUUAAAUAAUUGGAAAGGGCAGGGAAGGAGGAAAGGAAAAGAGAAAUGUUGAGGCAGGGCAUUCCUCCAAACUCUAGGGCCAACAUGCUGCCUUUUUUUUUUUUUUUUUUUUUUUGUAUGAGAAAGUCUCACUUUAUGAAGCUACUACAUUAGCACCAUAAAAUAUACUUCUUCUAUGCUAUUUGCCAGUGCCUACUUCUAAUAGGAGAAACUCAAUAGUUUCUACACUUAAAUAUAAUGCUGUGAAAUGGCACUUGGGAAACUUUUUAUAUAAAAAGUAUUUUGACUUUAAUAACUUCACAAGUGCGCUUCUCAUUUAUGUCUAUACCAAUCUUAGUUUAAUUCUUAAGGAUACAAAUUAUCUCUAGCAUUUCUAAAAUGGAACAGGUGCAGCCAAUUAGUUUUAUAAUGCAUUUAUCUUUGGUAGUUGAGUUACAACUUACAGAAAUUCAAUUGAAUGUUUAAUACUUCAAAAUUAAUUUGGAUGUCUGUAGAUGCUUCUUCCUGUGGGACCCCUUAAAUACACUUGACUGAUGUAUUAAUAAGAUAACAUGAAACACUGAAUAAGUCAUUAUAAGACUAAGUUGUUAAAAACAGCAUUUAUUUAAGAGUUCAUACAGAAUAAAGUUAUACUUAUGUUUUGAAAGAGGCAUCAUGGUGGGACAAAUAAAGCAUGAUUUAAAUAUGCAUGUAUUUUAUAUGUGUAUUGUAUGUGUACAUAUAUUUAAAUACAUGCAGUUAUUCUAUAGUUCACCAGGUUGGUGCCUCAGUAGAUACAUAAGGAAAGUAGACAAUUGCUGAUGGAAAUUCUUUUUCAAUUUAAUUGCUUGAUAUCUGCACAUCUAACUAAGAUUAGAAAAAUGUCACAAGAAAUGUCCCAGGCCUUCAGCCUUCUGGACUAUGGAAAUAUCACCAGAGUUAAAGAACAUUUCUGGAUAUAUGAGUGACAUCUGUUACGGAAAUGAGGAAACCUUUGGAAAAUGUUUCAUAUCUUUGGUCAAUGAUUUACCUUUUGUCCAUAUAUUGAUAAAUCAGUCACUUCUGAAUUAACACUGAAUUUCACUGACCAACUGCACGGUUAAAGAAGAAAGAAUAAGAGCUACUAUGAUAUAAUAACAAAAGCCAAUGCCUAUUAGAGACAAGAGUGUAGUGUAUACUUUUUCAACACUUGCCACUUGUUACAGACACACGCACACAUAUCACACCUACAUACUCUUUAUAAUGUUUCCCACACAAUAAAAGAUUUUCAUAAGAUAAGUUUCUUUUUUCCAAUGCUUUCAGCAACCAUGUUUUUCAAACUUGUUUUCCCUCUGGAAAGUCAUCUGGAAUUAAAGGGGUUUUUGUUUUGUUUUGGUUGGGUUUUUUGCAGAAAUCCUGUUCAGAGGUCCCUUUCAUCACCUGCAUUGUAUUAAUUUCAUCUAGGUUCCCUGCUGCUGGUGUGCAUCUCAGCCAGGCAGACAGAGGGCAACAGUUGGAAUGAACAUCACUCAUUCAGGGAGUUCAACCAGGAAAAGGAGAAGACGUGGCGAGCUGGCUCAGAAUCAGCUCCACUCCCACUCCCCGAAGCUGCAGCCUGUACCUGGAGGGGAGGGUCCUCAAAUCCAGUCUGCAAUAGAAGAAAAUCUGAAUCAGAGGAAGAAGAGCCUAGUCCUUUUGGAUCUGACCUGGCUGAAAUCCCCUUGAUGUUGCUGCACCCAGGAUAUCUUUCAGAGAUCUCUCUCAGGAAAGACUGUAGAGGUUUCAAAGAGACUGAGAAGUCACCUGGCCCACAUUCCCACCAGUGCCAAGAAUUUCCUAUGUAUCUUUGACAGGAGUCAUCCGGCUGCCUCCUGGGUGCCUCUGAUAAGCAAUACAUGAAGACUAAGGUGGGCACCCUUCCAUCUUUCUGGACUACAAGACCUUCAAAAUGCUGUGAAGGUCAGUUAACAACAAACGCCUCAGCUUAUCAACUCCCUCCUCCGAGGUAAUUAGGGAACAAGUAUAUGCUAUGAAAGAAAAAUAUGCUCUUAGAGGCCAGCUCACUAGUGAGUGAUUACUCUGAAUUUCAGUACCUACUGUGCCUUUGUAAAUGUGGACCUGAAAUGCUUUCAACAGUGACUUUCCAGUAACCUGAAAAAUGGAAUGGGAAAAACGUGGACUUCUGCAUUAUCAAAAUGUCUGCAGGUAGCACACUUUAAAGGAUGACUGUUACCUGCAAAAGCGUGAUAGCAACCAUCUUUAUCUCUUCUCCACAAAAACUUCCUCACCUCAAAGAUUUCUUUUUGCUUUUAAUGUUCUAUUUUACUUAUUUCAGUAAAAAGGCUGGGUUAAAAAAAAGUCUUCAGUAAAAAUUCUUGGCUCUGUACCUUCUCCCUCCCCCAACGUCUCUGGAUAGUAAUUGAAUCAAGAUACAUACUUUUUAAACUUUCAAGUUUAUGUUUUCAAAUAUUCUCCAUUUUCUUCCUUUUGAUAUCUGUGGUUCCUAUGUCCUGUGUGUGUGUGUGUACACAUGCACAUGUGCAUGCAUGCAUACCUGGGUGAGUGUGUUUAGCAACUGAAGUAACUUCCAUCAUGAAUGCCCUAGGCAUUGGCCUCCAAGCAUAUUCUGAUGCAUAGCCUCCAGCUGCAACAUGACCUACCUCCUGGGUCUGCCAGGACAGUUAUAUGUAUUGGCUUCUUAGAAGAACAAAAUAAAAGUUGUCCGUGAUCCUUGAAUGAAAAUAAAAUCCAUCCCAUCUCUAAGGUGAACCCAGUAUGGAUGCAAUAUACCAAAAAGGGGUGAUUUUAUAAAGGGAAAACUAUGCUGCCCAUAUUAAAAAGGCAAAAUGAUGACAGGUAGAAUAUCUGUUUCUAACCAAUGUCAUAAUAUUUGGCUAAAAAGAAAAAAAUCAAGUAAUCAUUUGGUCAUUUCCUUCGAAGUGAGUAGGUAAUCUUUAAUAUUCAUCUAAAGCCCAUUGUUUAGCUGUUGCUUUCAUAGAAAUGUUAAAACUGACAAGUUCUAAUUUUUAGCCUGCUUUAUAUUUUAAUGGUAAUAAGAUAUAAGAUAUGCAGUUGCAAAAAGGAGCUUUCCAUGGAAAAAAAUCAACAAUAGACAAUCUUAUACUAAAGAGUAGAUAGUUAGACAAGCAAAGUACCGUCAUCCUGUUGUUUUUAAUGCCUAGAUUUUCAGUGGCUCACCUUCUCCCCAGGCACUUAUUACUCUCUGAGAUGAUCUUGUUAUUUAUUUGUUUUAUUGUCUAACUCCUGUACUAGAAUAAAACCUUCCUGAGAGCAGGAAACUUUUCUGUUUAGUUCAUCACUAUUUUCCAGUAUUAUGUGUGCAGAAUACGGUGUAUAAUGCACACCUGAGAAAUAUGAUCUGAAUGACUGAGUGAAUGAAUGAAAUAUGAUUUGUAUUUAGGGAUAUUCAGUCCUCAAAAGUUUCUAUGUUCCCAGAAAAUAGAUAUUUAAGUAGAUACUCCACGACUCUGCUUCGUUUAGUGCUCAAAAGAAAACUGUGCAACCUUAGGGAAGCCAUUUAAUCUCAGGAUGAUUUUCUUAUCUGUACAAUAAGGGUUGGGAUUGGAUGAUUGCCAAGGUCCCUUUUGACUACAGUUCCAAGACUCUAUGACUUCAGAUAAAUGUGGGGAUAUUUCAGUGUCUUAAGGCUCUAAAAUGCCUCUUCCUAUUCCUGGCAAGUUUCAGAGUGGUUAUCUACAGUAUUAAGACAUAAAUUAUAUGUCCGGACCCUGCAAUGUCAGUCCCAGCUUGGGAAUGUGCCAGGGCUAUGACAGGAAAACCUAAGACAAUUGUAACCAUUGCUCUUACCAUGUAAGGAACAUGCCUCUGUGACCAAAAUAGAGCUGAAGAUAAGCUCUUAGCCCACCAUUUGUCACUGAGCAACUGUGGCUCUACCCAGCCCAUUCACAUACGCACUGCAUACCUCCAGCACUCAUCCACACACUCUCGUUUGGGGCUGCAGCUCUGGGUCUGGAAGUGCUCAGUCAGCUACAUUUGAAAUACAGUACUUUAGAAUUCCCUUCAUUAAGCCAAAUAGGGUUUCCUUUCCCCACCACCCCCAAAAGAAGGGGGGGAAGCAGAUUAAUAUUACUGAAGAGAGAACUGUAUUAAAGUAGAAAGAUUCUCCUGAGGAAAUCAGUCAACAUUUACUGGUAAAGCCCCAAUUUCUAGCACUUGGGAGAAGUUCCACGAGUGCAGACUAGGAUGAAAAAGUGGGUCUCCACCGGGCUAUACAAGAAAAGAGGCAGACAAAUGAGGAUAACAUGUUCCUUCCAGGCACAUGAACUGGAGUUCAGCUCCUCUCCCAUCAGCGGGGUCCCCUUGUGCAGUGCUCAGCAGAGCAACUCUACCCAGCAGCCAUGGGUCUCCAGACUCCCAAACUCAUGCUGUUUCUACCAUAUCACGUUGCCACCCACUUCAUGUUAGAAGAACAAUUAUGUUCUAAUCAAUGGAUCUCUAAAACUUACUCCUGGGGUUCUUCUCCAGAUCAUUUAAAAGCUCCUUGAGCAAACUCUCUAAAGCAGAGAGCCCAGUGAGCCAUACUGACUUGGGUCCUCUGGUUCAGUGAAAGCCACAAGCCCAUGGCAAGCUGAGAAGUUAUUUAAUUUGCUCCCAUACGUAGUAGAGAGUCAACUCGUCUCCCAGAAGAGCCUCAGCCUCCCUUGGUUGCCAGUAUUUUGCCUCUUAGAUAAAUAAUAGGGCUAAUAUCUCCUGCCAUUCAUGUUCAGUUUUUCCAUCUGAAGGGGGUUGCUUAGCUCUGCAUCAUAAUUACUCAGGACCCUGAAGGUCUUACUCUGAUACUGCUUAAAAGAUGCUCCAGAUGCUCCAGUGGUUCAAAUUAUUAUUAGCAUUGUUACAAUAAGUGUGGUCUUUCCAAGCUGACUAUGAGAAUAAUAUGAGGUAACACUUAUCAAGCCCCUGGCAUGUGCCUCUUACCCCAAUUUAGUCAUCUCAAUAACACUGUGAAGAAUGUAGUAUUAACCCCAGUGUACCAGUGAGGAAGUUGAGGGACAAAGGGCUUAAGUAACUUCCCAAGGUCAUAUAAUUAAAUGACAGCUAAAAGUCUAACUCUGAAACCUGUUCUUUUAAGCAUAUGUUCUAUUGCCUUUGAAAUGUUGCCUUAAAAAUUCUGGAAUGCUUAUUAAAGUGAUUCUUACAAUAUUUAUACGUCAUAUUUGUAACUUCAUGGACAGUGUCCUAAAAGCUAUUUGGGUAAAAUUAUUGUUUUGGAAAUACAAUAGGUUUGUUGUCAUUGAAGAAUCAUUGGCGGAUCUUAUUAAAGUCCUCAUUUUUCAGAUAAUGGAAAUGCUCAAGAUCAAAUAGUUAUUAUUCAACUUGUAGCUGUUUCCUUUAGACAUGCAUCCAUACAAAACAGGAUUAUUUCUAGGCCUGCUUGUCUGUCAGCUUCAGGAGGACCGGAAUUAAUAGCCUACUCUCUUGGGUAUCUAGUGACAUAGGAUAAAUGCCCUUUGUAAAGACUAUAAGACGGAGACAGAGGUUAUGAUUUUUAGCAAUGAAGAAGGAAAGCCAAGCACAGUAUUCUGGAAACAGAGAGCUCCCAAGGCAGUGCACUUGUCCACUCCAACCAGCAGCCCUCUUUCUGAGUCCUAGCCUAUCCCAGAACAUUUCCUGGGCUGGAAAGGCAAGUAUAGCUCCAGACCAUGCUGGGCUUAUAUAGAACAGCCUAGAAGGCCCUCCAACCUGCAGUCGAGAGCUCUGGGAACAUCUCAGCCUGUGCAACAUUCAGCUAGGAGUACUAAAAAGGCUGAAGGCUCCUUCACCCACUGUCAGAUCCACAGCAAAGAGAAAAAAAAUGCCACUCCUCCUUUUGACACAGUUCAGAUUGCCCUUUCAUGACUACAGCCCUUUUCAAAGCCACUCUCAUAAUCAUUGUAAACUCAUAUCAAUUGCAUACAUUAUUUAAAAAAAUUUUUUAAUGUUUAUUUAUUUGUUUUGAGAGAGAGAGUGAGAGAGAGAGCAGGGGAGGGGCAGAGAGUGAGAAUCCCAAGCAGGCUCUGCAAAGUCAGCACUGAGCUGGAUGCAGGGCUCCUUCCCACAAACUGGGAGAUCAUGACCUGAGACGAAAUCAAGAGUUGGACACUUAACUGACUGAACCACCCAGGUGCCCCUUUUAAUUUUAAUUUUUAAAAUGUUACUUAUUUUGAGAGAGAGUGAGCAAGCACACAUGCAUGAACUGGGGAGCAGCAGAGAG